This 1504-nucleotide ribosomal RNA is filed under the name uncultured Bacillota bacterium. RNAcentral's name for it is "uncultured Firmicutes bacterium partial 16S ribosomal RNA". It matches the Rfam family "Bacterial small subunit ribosomal RNA". Lineage: Bacteria; Bacillati; Bacillota. The record is from RNAcentral.
AGAGUUUGAUCCUGGCUCAGGAUGAACGCUGGCGGCGUGCCUAAUACAUGCAAGUCGAACGAAGAUCUAGCUUGCUAGAUCUUAGUGGCGAACGGGUGAGUAAUACAUAAAUAAUCUGCCCAUUGGACUGGGAUAACUAUUGGAAACGAUAGCUAAUACCGGAUAGGUGAUUUGAAGGCAUCUUCGAAUCAUUAAAGUAGGGUCACUACACCAAUGGAUGAGUUUAUGGCGCAUUAGUUAGUUGGCGGGGUAACGGCCCACCCAGACGAUGAUGCGUAGCCGACCUGAGAGGGUGACCGGCCACACUGGGACUGAGACACGGCCCAGACUCCUACGGGAGGCAGCAGUAGGGAAUUUUCGGCAAUGGGCGCAAGCCUGACCGAGCAACGCCGCGUGAGUGAUUAAGGCCUUCGGGUUGUAAAGCUCUGUUGUAAGGGAAGAACAUUCAGGAUAGGAAAUGAUCUUGAACUGACGGUACCUUACCAGAAAGCCACGGCUAACUACGUGCCAGCAGCCGCGGUAAUACGUAGGUGGCAAGCGUUAUCCGGAAUUAUUGGGCGUAAAGGGUGCGUAGGCGGUUUAUUAAGUCUAUGGUGAAAGUGCGGGGCUCAACCCCGUAUGGCCAUAGAAACUGAUAGACUUGAGUGCAGGAGAGGGCAAUGGAAUUCCAUGUGUAGCGGUAAAAUGCGUAGAUAUAUGGAGGAACACCAGUGGCGAAGGCGGUUGCCUGGCCUGUAACUGACGCUGAGGCACGAAAGCGUGGGGAGCAAAUAGGAUUAGAUACCCUAGUAGUCCACGCUGUGAACGAUGAAUACUAAGUGUUGGAGAAAUUCAGUGCUGCAGUUAACGCAAUAAGUAUUCCGCCUGGGGAGUAUGCACGCAAGUGUGAAACUCAAAGGAAUUGACGGGACCCCGCACAAGCGGUGGAUUAUGUUGUUUAAUUCGAAGAUACGCGAAGAACCUUACCAAGGCUUGACAUGUAAGGAACCUUGCAGAAAUGUAGGGGUGCUAGCUUGCUAGAACCUUAACACAGGUGCUGCAUGGCCGUCGUCAGCUCGUGUCGUGAGAUGUUGGGUUAAGUCCCGCAACGAGCGCAACCCUCGUCCUUAGUUGCCAGCGGUUCGGCCGGGAACUCUAAGGAGACUGCCUGCGUAAGCGGGAGGAAGGUGGGGAUGAUGUCAGGUCAUCACGGCCCUUAUGCCUUGGGCAACACACGUGCUACAAUGGGAUAUACAGAAAGUCGCAAUACCGCGAGGUGGAGCCAAUCUCUAAAAUAUCUCUCAGUUCGGAUUGUAGUCUGCAACUCGACUACAUGAAGUCGGAAUCGCUAGUAAUCGUAGAUCAGCUAUGCUACGGUGAAUACGUUCCCGGGUCUUGUACUCACCGCCCGUCACACCAUGGGAGUUGAUAUUGCCUUAAGUCGGAAUGCUAACCGUAAGGAGGCUACCGCCCACGGCUGUAUCAGCGACUGGGGUGAAGUCGUAACAAGGUAACCAAGGGCGAA